This 459-nucleotide ribosomal RNA is filed under the name uncultured bacterium. Its description in RNAcentral is "partial 16S ribosomal RNA". It matches the Rfam family "Bacterial small subunit ribosomal RNA", at positions 339 to 795 of the family's 1533-position model. The record is from RNAcentral.
CUACGGGUGGCUGCAGUGAGGAAUAUUGGACAAUGGAGGCAACUCUGAUCCAGCCAUGCCGCGUGCAGGAAGACUGCCCUAUGGGUUGUAAACUGCUUUUAUACAGGAAGAAUAGUAUCUACGUGUAGGUAUUUGACGGUACUGUACGAAUAAGGAUCGGCUAACUCCGUGCCAGCAGCCGCGGUAAUACGGAGGAUCCAAGCGUUAUCCGGAAUCAUUGGGUUUAAAGGGUCCGUAGGCGGUCUGAUAAGUCAGAGGUGAAAUCCUGCAGCUCAACUGUAGCAUUGCCUUUGAUACUGUUAGACUUGAGUUAUUGUGAAGUAGUUAGAAUGUGUGGUGUAGCGGUGAAAUGCAUAGAUAUUACACAGAAUACCGAUUGCGAAGGCAGAUUACUAACAAUAUACUGACGCUGAGGGACGAAAGCGUGGGUAGCGAACAGGAUUAGAUACCCCUGUAGUC